AGGGUGGUAGUUCAGUUGGUUAGAAUUCGCGCUUUGGGAGCGUGAGGUCGCCGGUUCGAGUCCGGCUCACCCUA
Molecule: transfer RNA, 74 nt
Filed under: Fibrella aestuarina BUZ 2
Lineage: Bacteria; Pseudomonadati; Bacteroidota; Cytophagia; Cytophagales; Spirosomataceae
Rfam family: tRNA
About the family: Transfer RNA (tRNA) molecules are approximately 80 nucleotides in length. Their secondary structure includes four short double-helical elements and three loops (D, anti-codon, and T loops). Further hydrogen bonds mediate the characteristic L-shaped molecular structure. tRNAs have two regions of fundamental functional importance: the anti-codon, which is responsible for specific mRNA codon recognition, and the 3' end, to which the tRNAs corresponding amino acid is attached (by aminoacyl-tRNA synthetases). tRNAs cope with the degeneracy of the genetic code in two manners: having more than one tRNA (with a specific anti-codon) for a particular amino acid; and 'wobble' base-pairing, i.e. permitting non-standard base-pairing at the 3rd anti-codon position.
Source: Rfam by way of RNAcentral